This 1582-nucleotide long non-coding RNA is filed under the name Marmota monax (woodchuck). Lineage: Eukaryota; Metazoa; Chordata; Mammalia; Rodentia; Sciuridae. The record is from RNAcentral.
CUUUUCUCUCUCAAAAGGAUUUGUCUUUGCAGAUCAAAACUCUACUCUUCAACAAUACUUAAACACUUAAAAGUACAUAAAUGACUCUAUUCUUAUAUCUAGCUAUUUCAUUUCCCCUUUCAGACCAUAAUCCCAGGACACUUUAAUUUAAGGUAUAAUUUUAUAGAGACAGAGGCAAAUCUAUCAAAAAAACAUAUUUGUAUAUGUGUAUUUUUUUUUCUUUUUCUAACACAUUAGAUAAGGACCAAGUGAAAUAAUGUGCAUGAAAGGCUAGUCAAAGUGAUCAUGGCAUGAUCAAACAAUUAGAUCCACAGGCAUCAUUAUUGAUGAAGGGUUAUUUAUUAGAAUGGACAUGCUGUAGAGCUAGGUAGGAAUAGGGUCGUUAUUUUCAGCUCUUAUGUUAAACAGAACUUGCUUCCAGCCAAAUGUAUUAAAAAUAUUGCUCUCACCCCCAUAAAAAUCAAGAAGCAAGUUUUGGAAGUAAAAAUGCAACGAGCAGAUAGAAUUCCGUCAAUCACCAUGAUUCAGAAUGUUCCGGUUAGAGACAGGUUAAGAGAUACAGUUUCACCAUUAAAUAGUGACACGGGAAGCUAGAAUUUUAUAGAAUGUACCAGAGGGAAGCAAAGCCAUGUGUAGAAGACAACUGAUUAAAAUGUGGAGUUUUAAAGGCUGUGCCUUGAUCAGUGCAUAAACAAAAUCUAAGACCCCCCCCCCACCUCCCAGAGGGAGAUAGAUGCUGGUCCCCACAGCAAAUUACAAGAACCACACUGAAUCUUGGUGAAAGCACCUCAAAACCUUCAAACAGAAGCAUCAAAGCAAUUUGUAAAAAUAAAUUAUUCCAGACUACAAAGGAGGAACACUGAACAUAGAACCAAAACCCACUCACUACAUAGCUGUUUCAUUUUUAUAAAUAUGUUUAGAAAUGUGUGUCCUUUUCAUUUCAAACAGUGGAUACAGUCAUCUUCAGUACAUUCUUUAGCAGUUUUCAUAACAAUUUACAACUCUCAGCUAAUGUUAUGCAUAGAUAUUUGGGUGAAAGGACUCUGUCUCACUCUAAUUAAAGAUUCUUCUCACCCAACAUAGAGUAAAUCAGUUAAUUAGCAAUUGAUAUAAAAAGCAGAUAUUAGAUUAUGCAUUGUAUACCAAAACCAUAAAAUACUGAAUAAAAUAACAAAUUAAUAAUAUGCUAUAUAAACACAUAAUUACAUUAAAAAUUUUAACAGGACUCUUUUAAUGAAAUGUUACAAAUUUUACUUCAACCUCCCACGUCACAGAGUUCAGUUCAGUACUGUACAAACCUUGUUAGAGCAAAAUCCACAGAAAGUAUUUCGGCAGAGCUUUUCUUCUUCCUUCCAUCCAGAGCCCCUGCAUUUUCAUUAUCUUCCUUUGAUGAAGCUUUGAAUAGCCUGUACUUCUUCUUGAACCUUUGACCUCAUAUCCUGUAAGUGGAUAAAGUAUUAGUGCAUCAAUACUUUAUUGAAAUUCUAUAAUAAGCAACACAUGCAUUACAUUUCUUGGAUAAGAAGGAGACCAUUUGAGUAACAGGAAUUAGCACUCUAUUGAAUAUGAGAUGACAUUUGAU